UACGUAGGUGGCAAGCGUUGUCCGGAAUUAUUGGGCGUAAAGCGCGCGCAGGCGGUCCUUUAAGUUUGAUGUGAAAGCUCAGGGCUUAACCCUGAAAUGGCAUUGAAUACUAGCGUGCUGGAGGUUUGGAGGGGGGACUGGAAUUCUCGGUGUAGCAGUGAAAUGCGUAGAUAUCGAGAGGAACACCAGUGGCGAAGGCGAGUCCCUGGACAACACCUGACACUGAGGCACGAAAGCCGGGGGAGCAAACAGG
Molecule: ribosomal RNA, 253 nt
Filed under: uncultured bacterium
Lineage: Bacteria
Description: partial 16S ribosomal RNA
Rfam family: Bacterial small subunit ribosomal RNA
Source: RNAcentral